UAACCUUUGGUGUCUUUGCAUACAGUC
RNAcentral lists this non-coding RNA (27 nucleotides) under Mus musculus (house mouse). The record is from RNAcentral. Lineage: Eukaryota; Metazoa; Chordata; Mammalia; Rodentia; Muridae.